UAGGGAAUAUUGCACAAUGGGGGAAACCCUGAUGCAGCAAUGCCGCGUGAAGGAAGAAGUAUUUCGGUAUGUAAACUUCUAUCGAUGGGGAAGAAAAAAAUGACGGUACCCAAGUAAGAAGCCCCGGCUAACUAUGUGCCAGCAGCCGCGGUAAUACAUAGGGGGCAAGCGUUAUCCGGAAUUACUGGGUGUAAAGGGUGCGUAGGCGGUUAUGUAAGUCAGAUGUGAAAACCCGAGGCUUAACCAUGGGAAUGCAUUUGAAACUAUGUAACUAGAGUACAGGAGAGGUAAGUGGAAUUCCUAGUGUAGCGGUAAAAUGCGUAGAUAUUAGGAAGAACACCAGUGGCGAAGGCGACUUACUGGA
Molecule: ribosomal RNA, 364 nt
Filed under: uncultured anaerobic bacterium
Lineage: Bacteria
Description: bacterial SSU rRNA
Rfam family: Bacterial small subunit ribosomal RNA
Source: RNAcentral